Schistocerca gregaria is the source of this 2446-nucleotide RNA transcript. It is a transcript of the gene named WD repeat-containing protein 46-like, with no coding region annotated. Lineage: Eukaryota; Metazoa; Arthropoda; Insecta; Orthoptera; Acrididae. The transcript is spliced from 10 exons. The record is from RefSeq and is a predicted model, not a curated record.
GAUCUUUGCCUUUGUCGCACAUGUGGUGAUGCUGUGUUAUGUUUACGUUUCGAAUUGAUUGCGAGCAGUGGACGAAUGUGUUGUCGCCGUCACAUUUGGAUUAUUUUGCUUCCCGUUUACAGAAGUUAGAAGUUUGAAUAAUGGCUAAGAAGAAAAUUGUAAUGAAAGAGCAGCCAGUACACAAGGUAAAGAAGUCUGUGACAAAGAAGUCCUUGCCACAUAUCCUAAAACUGGAUGACAAGCCAAGAAGAAUAAAAGGAGAUCCAAUUCAACGGUCCAUCAAGGACAUUAAAGAUUUAGUAAAUUCUAUACAUAAGAGUGAAAAUGUGGAACAGCAGAAAGCGACUGGUAUUUCCCACGGUCAACAACAACAAGGUCGAACUCCUAUCCCAAAAGAAAAGCUACUGCGCUACAGCAGAGGUUCUGGAGUUGAUAAAGACACUAUAAAAACUAAAGUAUGGAAGAAACGAAUCAGUAAGCAGGAAAGGAAAAUAGAAUAUGCAACAGAGCAAGCAGCAAGAGCAGAACUAUUACUGACAGAGGACAGUGGUUAUCUGGUUCCUGAUGAAGGAGAGGUAACUACGCAGUUUACACAGAGCCAGAUAGCUGCCUCAGUUGAUAUUACAAGUGCUACAAAGCAUUUUGACCUUCAACUUCCUUUUGGAUCUUACAGGAUGAGGUACAGUCGAAAUGGUCGCUUUUUGUUGCUUGGUGGAAGGAGAGGUCAUGUUGCAGCAUUUGACUGGGUUACAAAGAAGCUGUUUUGUGAAAUGAAUGUAAUGGAGGAAGUCUUUGACGUUCAGUGGCUGCAUAUAGAAACAAUGUUUGCUGUUGCACAGAAGAAUUGGGUGCACAUAUAUGACAACCAAGGUAUAGAAUUACACUGUCUGAAGAAUUUACACCACGUUCUAAGGAUGGAGUUCCUGCCAUACCACUUCCUGCUGGCUACCAGUAGUGAAGAAGGAUACCUCGCAUGGUUGGAUGUUUCCAUUGGAAAGAUAAUUUCUCGAUAUAAUGCAAGGCUAGGAAGGCUUAAUAUAAUGACACAAAAUCCAUACAAUGCCGUUCUUUGUUUAGGGCAUUCAAAAGGUACUGUAACUAUGUGGAGUCCAAAUGUCCGUGAACCACUUGCCAAAAUGUUGUGCCACAAGCAUCCGCUAUUGGCUGUAGCUGUUGACCCUGCAGGCAUGUACAUGGCAACCAGUUCUGUGGACCGGAGCUUAAAACUGUGGGAUAUACGCAUGCUUGAAGGACCAUUACAGCAUUAUAACCUCCGUUCUCCAGCAACACAGCUUUCAUUCAGCCAGCGUGGAUUGCUUGCUGUGGGCAUGGGCAGUGUAGUUGAGGUAUACAGGGACUGCAUCAGAUCGGCAGCUGAAAAACCAUACAUCCGUCAUCAAGUUGGUAAAACUAUAGGAAACUUACAGUUUUGUCCAUAUGAGGAUGUACUCGGUGUAGCAACAGCAGGUGGCUUCAGCAGCCUUCUUGUACCAGGUAAGUACAAAAGCCUUCAGUUUUGUAGCUGGCAAGUUGAAUACCUGUAUGUCAUCAAUAACAUUUUUUGCAGUAUUUUAAGUGGUAUGAAACUCAAAUGCAUAAAAAGUGUAUUUUCCGUCCAUAUUGUGGGUGUACACCUUUUUUUUAUCCAUGAUCUGUCGAUUUAAUUCACUUCAACAUUGUGAUGCACAUUCAAAUAAAGUGUUUAGAUGGUUCAAAUCUCAUUUCAUUUGUUAAUCCUAAGUGCAUAUUUCAACCUCUCAAGUUUGACAUAAAAAAGUAAGUCCGCUCUAAUACUAUCACACUUAAGUCAGAAAUUUCAGUAUUUUAUUACGCUAAACAACCAUCUUUGUACAGAUGAUGUUCUGUAUAUUAUUUGUGAGUUUCAUGCCAAAAGGUGGAGGGGGAGGCAGUUUAAGAUUUAUAGUGAUCAUUGUGAUCAUAUGUAACCACAAACGGACACACUUCCCUCUCCUGAACCCUCUCCAUCCCCAGAAAGGUGUGAAAAAAGUCGAAAAAGUGUUGGUUUGAGAUGAGCUAUGUUGAUCCUGUGCUGAACUUAGGUUGGUGAACAACAAUAGGUGCAAAGGUUAGCUAGAAUUCAGGAAAAUUUUAAAAAAAAAAAAAAAAAAAAAAAAAAAAAAAAAAAAAAAAAAAAGCGUGUAACUGUAUUUAAAAGACUGGUUAUGUACUGGCAGGUUAUGAAAAUGAGGCUAACAAUUGUUUGACAAAGAAAUAAUAACGUUUUAAUAAAUAAUAACGAGUUUACACAAAAUGUUUGUAAACUUGGAACAGUGGAUUUUCUAGCAGUGGUAAUGUUGAAAGCGUUAAAGUUUUUAGGUUAUGGUUUGGAAGUAAAUUACGUAUUAUUAUAAUUAGGCAGGAUAAAAUGUAUGGUAGAUUACGGAAAAAGGGAAGAUGAAUACAAAGUGAAACUACUUGUACAAAC